This 402-nucleotide long non-coding RNA is filed under the name Callithrix jacchus (white-tufted-ear marmoset). RNAcentral describes it as "lncRNA (ENSCJAG00000057447.2)". Lineage: Eukaryota; Metazoa; Chordata; Mammalia; Primates; Cebidae. The record is from RNAcentral.
CAGGGCAGCUUCGUCCAUCCAUCCCCGGCUGUCAUGUCUUCCGCAGCGCUGGGACAUAGGAGAACUCAGAUGUGCGUGUCCUCUGCCAGCAGGUUCCCAUCACCCAGCCCUUGCUCCCUGCACAGGGUGGUACUCAGUGAAUGUGUGGUGGCUCUUCAAGGGUUGAAGAAGAGAGGGCAGAAGAAAACCUGUCUCCUCAACUUGCUUUCCUGCCGUGGCUUUUCUCAGCUUGAGUGCUUCCCUUCCCAACUGACCACAUAUUAGGCCUUGCUUUGUACUACAUCCAUUCAAAACAAAGCAUCCAAAUGUUGCUCCCCUUGGGGAUUUACUUUAGAACAAAGACAAUUUUCAUUGGCACUCUUUUCUCCAGCUCCUGGGCUCCUUCCCCCUCUUGUGAACUGG